Molecule: ribosomal RNA, 254 nt
Filed under: uncultured bacterium
Lineage: Bacteria
Description: partial 16S ribosomal RNA
Rfam family: Bacterial small subunit ribosomal RNA
Source: RNAcentral
UACGGGGGGAGCAAGCGUUGUUCGGAUUUACUGGGCGUAAAGGGCGCGUAGGCGGCCUCCGCAAGUCAGUUGUGAAAUCUCCGAGCUUAACUCGGAAAGGUCAACUGAUACUGCGGGGCUAGAGUGCGGAAGGGGCAACUGGAAUUCUUGGUGUAGCGGUGAAAUGCGUAGAUAUCUGGAGGAACACCGGUGGCGAAGGCGGCAUCCUGGACCAACACUGACGCUGAGGAGCGAAAGCCAGGGGAGCAAACGGG